This 354-nucleotide ribosomal RNA is filed under the name Salmonella enterica subsp. enterica serovar Kentucky. Its description in RNAcentral is "bacterial SSU rRNA". It matches the Rfam family "Bacterial small subunit ribosomal RNA", at positions 1 to 351 of the family's 1533-position model. Lineage: Bacteria; Pseudomonadati; Pseudomonadota; Gammaproteobacteria; Enterobacterales; Enterobacteriaceae. RNAcentral also lists the same sequence under 1 other name. The record is from RNAcentral.
AAAUUGAAGAGUUUGAUCAUGGCUCAGAUUGAACGCUGGCGGCAGGCCUAACACAUGCAAGUCGAACGGUAACAGGAAGCAGCUUGCUGCUUUGCUGACGAGUGGCGGACGGGUGAGUAAUGUCUGGGAAACUGCCUGAUGGAGGGGGAUAACUACUGGAAACGGUGGCUAAUACCGCAUAACGUCGCAAGACCAAAGAGGGGGACCUUCGGGCCUCUUGCCAUCAGAUGUGCCCAGAUGGGAUUAGCUGGUUGGUGAGGUAACGGCUCACCAAGGCGACGAUCCCUAGCUGGUCUGAGAGGAUGACCAGCCACACUGGAACUGAGACACGGUCCAGACUCCUACGGGAGGCAG